CACUAUGUUGGCCAGGAUGGUCUCGAUCUCUUGGCCUCUUGAUCUGCCCACUUCGGCCUCUCAAAGUGCUGGGAUUACAGGCCUGAGCCAAUGCACCCGGCCCUAAAUAAGUAACUUCUUAAACAAGAAAGGCAAUCAUCCUGAAACAAUAGCCAAGGAAGUUAAGAGUUAGGAGAUAUUUGCUUACCCUACAGAAACUAAAGAUAACAACUUAACAAAGCUCCCUGAAUUGUCUUUCAGAUGGUGGGACAUAGACCCCAAGUAAGAGUGAAGCGAAGACUCAACUUUAACCACCACCCUCUAAGUUUCUUUUGAGGAGCUUGGAGAACGUCACUCCCUGUGGGUCUAAGUGGUACAGGCGCUAAAAAAUUAUUUAGGCAGAUAGUGAGGGUAAGGAAGUCCUCGGCUGUUUCCCUUUUAACAAAAAGCAGUCCCUAAAUCAUUUAUUUUCUAACAAAGAGCAGCCUGUAAAAUCGAGCUGCAGACAUAGAUAAGCAAGCUGGAAGCUUGCAUGGGUGAAUGCAGCAGCUGUGCCAAUAGGAAAAGGCUACGUGGCGGCCAGGCAUGUUCAACAUGGCGGCUCCAUCUUCCCUUUUCUUUGUCAACUAGGUGUACAGUAAGGAACCGACAACAUCACACCGGCCAGGUAGAGAAGCCAUUUGCAUAAUAGAAGAUUAGGGUGGGGUGGCCAGCUUCUUUGCGCGCUUUGUAAACAUCACACCUAGUCCACCAAUCUUUGGGCCCUAUGUAAAUUAGACAACACCUCCUCAAGCCAGUCUAUAAACCCUCCCCUCCCCGCACAUGCAUUUCACCGCAAAACCCAAAGACCCACUUAGGUGUCCCCUCUCUCCGCAGAAGAGAGAGCUUUUCCCUUUCUCUCUGUUAAACCUCUUCUCUUAAACUCACUUCUUGCGUGUCCUCGUCCUCGAUUUCCUUGGCGUAAGACGACGAACCUCAGGCAUUUACCCCAGACAACGAAGGUGCUUCAUAAGGUCAUGCAGCUGGUUGGCUUCAUCCUUAGGCUGCCUCUACAGUGGAAACAAGAUGGUGGCUACAUAUUCAGAAGAAGAGUGACAUCUUCUCUUCCACGCACCCCCUUGAAGCUCAUUGGCUCUAACUGGUUAUGGUCAACAUAGGACUGUGUAGCCAAGAGCUACAGGAUGGAUUGCUGAGGCCAGGGAGAUUGAAAGGAAGUCACAGCCCAAUCUCAGAGGGAUCCACGGAGCCAGCGAAAGCUAAGGCGGGACUUACCCAACAGAGGGUCCUGGCCCAGUCACCCAGUGGCACAACCCAACUGGGAGAUCUGAGCAUCUACCAACUGUGGCCACCAGUGAGAUGGUGUCAUUGUCUGGGGUAAAUACCGGGGGUUUGUUGUCUCAUGCCAAGGAAAUCGAGUUUGCGGACACAAGAAUUGGGUUUAGGAGCAGAGGUUUAAUAGGCAAAAGAAAGAGAAAGGGUAACAGUAGGAGAGAGAGGAGUGCGCCAGUGGGACUUCUGACCCACGAUGGAGUGCAUUGGAUUUUAUAGACAGGCUUGAGGAGGCAGUGUCUGAUUGACACAGGGCCCACAGAUUGGUUGGACCAGGUGUGAGUUUUACAUAGCGUGUGGGGAAGCUGGCCACGCCACCCUAAUCUUAUUAUGCAAAUAGGCUUUCCACUUGGCCGGCACCAUGUUGUCUGCUGCCUAAUGCACAUGUGGUUGGAAAGGGAAAGGGAAGAUGCAGCUGCCAUUUUGAACAUGCCUAGUCCCAGGUAGCCUUUUCCUAUUGACACAGCUGCCGCAUUCACCCGUGCAAGCUUCUGUGUCUGCAGCUCAAUUUUACAGGCUGCUGUUUGUUAGAAAAGAAAUGAUUCAGGGGCUGCUUUUCAUUAAAAGGAAACCUUACUGAGGACUUCCUUACCCUCACUGUCUGCCUAAAUAAUUUCUUCUUUACUCCUAUAUCACCGGCAUCAGAGGCCAGCAGAAGUCUCAGUGAUCGGGCAGGACAAAGGACAUUUCUGCAGAGAAUACUGAAGGUCCAGGAGACAGCACAGUGGGACAUAUGUGGGCCCCUGCCCCAUCAUUAGGAGGAAGUGUAGGCUUUUCUGAGGACCUGGAUGCCAUACCAUCUUGAGACAGAGAAUGAGGAACCAACCCUUGACAAGAGAGAGAUGGCCCUGGUAGAGAAUUUGAACCUUGAAUUGGAUUGAAUAUUUAUCCAAAAGAAAUUGAACCAGCACUAGAGAGACUGUUUUGAACUAGAAGUAACCAAGUUACCUUAACUGGAAGUUAGGAUUUUUCCACCCCUGACAUCAGUGGGACAAGGGCACAUGAGCAAGAUAUUUACGGACAAAGAAGAACGUUCAUGUUUUGUACACCUGCUUUGUAGUAUGUUGCAGAUACCGUUGGUUCCCCUGAUUUCAGGUGUUCUCGUUCUUUCUGUACAGUCACUUGCUCAGGGCAAAUGGUCCUCUCCUGCAUGACUCAGAAGCACAUACUGAUUAUUCUAAACUGGUCUUCAUGCCCCGUUCCCUUGUCAGUGAUGUAGUUAGGCAAAGGAUUAUGUAACAAUUCUGGCUAUGAGACAUUGAAACUUCUACUGUGGGGCAUCUGGGAAGAUUUUUCUCAUUGAAAAGAAGAGACGCAGGGUGUGGAGACUCAUGCCUGUAAUCCGAGCCCUUGGGAGGCCCAGGAGGGAGGGUCACCUGAGUCCAAGAGCUCAAGGCCAGUUCGAGCAACAUACCAAGGCUGCAAUAAACAAGCAAACAAACAAACAAACAUUAGCUGGGCACGGUAGUGCACACCUGUAGUCCCAGCUACUCAGGAGGCUGAAAUGGGAGGAUUGCUUGAGCCCAGGAGUUUGAGGCUGCAGUGAGCUAUGAUUGCACCACUGCACUUCAGCCUGGGCAACAGAGCGAGAUCCUGUCUCUAUAAAAAAAUUUUAAAAAAAGGAAGAAAAGAAAAGAAGAGACACACGUGGAAGAAACAGUCUCUAUUCUGAUGCAAGUAAUGACUGGAACUGUGGCAGACAGCUUGGAACCAUGAGAGGAGUUAACUGAGGGCUAUCAGGGAAACUAGAAGAAGCCUGGGUCCUUGAGGAGGCAGACUACUAAAUGGACCAUCGUCCCUUCACCCUUUUUGUUAUGUGAGAUAAUAAACUCUCUAAUUUAAAUCUACUUGAGAUGAAUAUCUGAUACUUGUAGCCAAAAUCAUCCUUAAUGGGACAGAGUGUGGGUAAAUUAUCAACCUUGCUAGCCUUGCCUCAUAAUUUUUGAAUUUAUUUUUAUCUUUUAAUUUUGUUUAUUUUUUAUUUUUAAAGUAGAGACAGGAUCUCAUUAUGUUGCUCAGGCUGGUCUCGAAUCCCUGGCCUCAAGGGAUCCUCCUGCCUCAGCCUCCUAAAGUGCUGAGAUUACAGGUAUGAGCCCCUAUGCCAGGCCAUUGCUUUGCCAUUGUAUCCAUGUGAUUGCAAAAAAGAAAAUCGUGCUAAUAGUCAUUAGCUUUGAAAGACACUUGGAAUUUCUUCCUUCAAGCGAGCUUUAUUCCCAAACUGUUGAACCCUCUGGGUUUGACAGCAGGAUCUACUUCACAUGGUAGCAUCUCCUUCUAUUUGCCUUCAAGACAUUUCCUAAGGGAAGAGAUGAAGACACACUUGUAACGUGAACAAAAUAAUCCUUUUUCCUUUUAAAAAUGUAUGAUUAAAAUGUAAAAUAUAUAUAUAUAUUCUUAAAUGUAAAAUAUAUAUAUAUAUCUUCUAGAGUUGCCUGGAAAGUGAGCUGAGAGCAGUUAAACAUCAAACCCACUGCUGCUUUCCAGCUUUAACCAGAAUCACCAUUGUCUUUCCCUAUGAAAGAAAGGAAAUCUUAGAACUUAAAAGGAUUUCAAGAAGAACUGAAUUUUAACCACUGAGAUGACCAGAGAUGUAAGGCUCACACUGACUGAAGCAGUAUAAUUUGGCUGUCUUUUUAACAUUCAGAAUUCUCUCUGACUCUCCAAAAUUGCAUCUACUUUGAUGAGCUUAUUUUUUUCCUCAACCAAAUUACAUUUCUUGGAGUUCACCUGAUACAUCAUGCCUACUUACUUUUUUUUUUAGAUGGAGUCUUGCUCUGUCACCCAGGCUGGAGUGCAGUGGUGCAAUCUCGGCUCAUUGCAACCUCUGCCUCCCAGGUUCAAGUGAUUCUCCUGCCUCAGCCCCCCAAGUAGCUGGGAUUACAGGUGCGUGCCACCACGCCCAGCUAAUUUUUGUAUUUUUAGUAGAGACAGGGUUUCGCCAUGUUGGUCAGGCUGGUCUCGAACUCCUGACCUCAAGUGACCCACCUGCCUUGGCCUCCCAAAGCGCUGGGAUUACAGGGGUAAGCCACCAUGUCCAGCCCUGCCUACUUACUUUGAACAAAUUAUUUCAGGCUAAUUUACUAGCUGGAGAGAAAGAGGGAGGGAAGCAGGGAGGAAGCAAAGAUAGAGGGAGAGAAAGAGAGGGAGACAGAGAGGAAGAGGGAGAGGGAGAGGAGAGAGAGAGAAAGAAUGAAUUGUGUUCUCCCAAAAUUAGUAUGUUGAAGUCUUAAUAUCCCAGUACCUCAGACUAUGACUGUAUCUGUAGAUAGGGCUUUUGAAAAGGUGAUUAUGUUUAAAUGAGGCCAUUGGGGUGGGCCCUAAUCCAGUCCAACUGUUGUCAUUGUAAGAAGAAGAGAUUAGGACACAGAGAUACCAGGCAUGUGCGUGCCCAGACAGACAACUAUGUGAAGAGACAACAAUAGGUCAGCCAUCUGCAAGCUGAGGAGAGAGGCCUCAGAGGAAACCAACCCUGCCGGCACCUUGAUCUUGGAGUUCCAGCCUCCAGAACUGUGAGAAAAUGUAUUCCUGUUGUUGAAGCCAUUUCUGUUGUUCUGUGGCAUUUUGUUAUGGCAGCCCUAGCAAACUAAUAUGAUAAUUAACUCUUCCAAGUGCUGUUUCCAUUACAAAGUAUCCCAGAAUUUUAUAUUGGUGAAUCUGUGUUCCUCAGGCCAUGUCUUCCCUGUUGGAAAUGCUGUUAUUAUGUCCCAAGGUGACUUCAAGGAGUGGGUUAGAGGCUGAGACAGAGGGUGUGAGAUCGUCACUACUGUAACCUUGCUUUGUUCAGUAUGAACAUGCUCAGAUAUUCUCUGUUUUGUAUUGGGAGAUCGGGAAAGGAUUUAUUGAAAAAAUGUUUCCAUUAGCAAAUGAAGUUUGAAGGCAACUACCGUCUACAAGAGCAAACAAAUGCAUAAAAUUCAAAUAUUAUUUUGUCCCAACCUCAGUGUCAUGAGGGUCUCUUAUACAGAAUAGUAGAUGAGAAUAAAAUUUGAAUUGAUAAUACUGGAAUAGAGUAGUCAUUAUGCAAUGUAACAAACCUCAAAUAUUCAGUGGUUUAACACUAUAGAUGUUUAUUUACCACUCAUUCAAUGUAUGUGUUCCUUGUUAGCAGUAGUUUUCCUUGUAGUCAUUCAGGAAUCCAGGCAUAUUAGUUAUCUAUUUCUGUGUACCCCAUAAAAACCAUUUAUUAUUGCACACUUUCAGAGGGUCAGUAAUUUGGGAGUGGCUUAGCUGGGGUGUUCUGACCAGAGUCUCUCUUGAGGUUGUAGUCAAGAUGUUGGCUAGGGUUGCCAUCAUCUGAAAGCUUGACUGGGACUGUAUCCACUUUCAAGAUGGCGCACUUACUUGGCUGUUGGCAGGAAGCCUCAAUGACUUAUCAUGUGGUCUUCUCCACAGUGCUGCUUGAGCAUCCACACAACAUGGCGCUAGCUUCCCCCAGAGUGAGUAAUCCAGAAUGAAGAAGACAGAAACCACAAUAUCCUUUAUGAACUGGCCUUAUAAGUAAUAUUUUGUCAUUUCCAUAAAGUCCUAUUGGUUACACAAGACUGCCGUAUUCAAUAUAAGAGUGACAACACAUGGGGAUAAAUACUUGGAGGUGUAAAUCAUUGGGAACCAUCCUGGAAGUUGCCUACAAUACUAGGAUCUAUGGCUACAAUUCCCUGGGUCUUGGCUUCAAGACAGAGAAAAGGGAAAGAACAUGAAACAGCCCCAUGUGGUUUUUGUUUUUUUUUUAAUGGACAAGAGUAAGAAAUGGUGAACAUUUCUUCUACUCAUAUUCUACAGUUAGAAUUUGGUCACAUAAUGUAUCUAACUAUGAAGGUAGCUAGGUAAUAUCAUCUCUUGUUGGGAGGGUAGCUGGGAAUACCUCUAUACAAUGGAAGGAAGAGCAUGAACUUUUGGUGGAGAGAUAAUGCUCUCUGCCAUGAUAAAAUGAAAAAAAUAACAUAUGCAGAAUGGUCAACAUAACAGCAUGAAGCAAAUGCACAAUGAAUGAUAAUCAUAAUAUAGUGCUCUUUUGAUAAUCUAGUGCAUACCCAGAACCUGGGAGGUAUUUGGUUUUAAUACAUGUUUGUUGUAUGAAUACGUGAGUUAAGGUAAUGGAUGCAAAAAUGGUAUAAAUAGGAGGAAUUAUAAUUGAUAUUUCUUGAGUUAGCAUGUUUCAUUGGCUAUCUUUAUGGAGGUCCAGACCCUCCUCCGAAGGUGGAUAUUACUGUUCCGAUUUCAAUUGGUCAAAUAGAGACCAAGAGACUUUAGGCAACUUGUUUUAGAUUUGGCACUGAAUGGCGGGAAAGUGCAGAUUUUCUGAGUACUAUGUCUGGGCUCUUUGCUAUAAGCACUAUUGAUUUGAAUGGAUAAGAACAGAAAAGUCCUUUGCUCAGAGGAGAAUCAGGGCCACUGUAUCAGUCAGGGUCCAAUCAAGAGGCAGAAACUAUACCAGUUAUUUAAUUUCAUUUAUUUAUUUAUUAUUAUUUUUUAGAGAUGUGGUCUUGCUGUGUUGCUCAGGCUGUUCUCGAACUCCUGGGCUCAAGCAAUCCACCUGCCUUGACCUCCCAAACUGCUGGGAUUACAGGUGUGAGCCACUGUGCCUGGCCCCGUACCAGUUAUUUUAACAGAGAGAAUUUAGUAUGGCCCAGGCGCAGUGGUUCAAGCCUGUAAUCCCAGCACUUUGUGAGGCUGAGCAGGGAGGAUCACUUGGACCCAGGAGUUUGAGACCAGCCUGGGCAACAUAUUGAGAGUCCACUUAAGAAAAAGAAUUUAAUAUAAAGAACUUUUUUCUUUUCUUUUUUUUUUUUUUGAGAUAGAUGGAGUCUCACUCUGUUGCCCAGGCUGGAGUGCUGUGGCGUGAUCCCAGCUCACCGCAACAUACGCCUCCUGGAAUCAAGCACCUCUCCCGCCUCAGCCUCCGGAGCAGCUGGGAUUACAGGCACUCGCUAACACGCCUGGCUAAUUUUUGUAUUUUAGUAGAGGCAGGGUUUCACCAUGUUGACCAGGCUGGUCUCAAACUGCUGACCUCAAGUGAUCCCCUGUCCUCGGGCUCCCAAAGUGCUGGGAUUACAGGCAUGAGCCACCACGCCUGGCCGAGAAUUGUUAACUAGGAAUCAAGUUGAUAACCAGGCAACUAAAAAGGAAAAAAAAACAACAAAACAAAACCAACCCAACAACAAUAUUAAUGUAUCACAGAAGAAGCAACUGAAGGAAACAGCUAUACUCAGAGGUCUGGGGGAACAAUGAGAAAAGGUUGGCAUUAACACUUAGAAUCAGCCAAGUGCAGUGGCUCAUAUCUGUAAUCCCAGAGACUCAGGAGACCAAGGUGGGAGGAUUGCUUGAAGCCAGGAGUUUGAGACUAGACUGGGCAACAUAGUGAGACCCUGUCUCUACAAAACAUAAUAAAAUUGGCCAGGCAGAGUGGCAUUCACCUGUGGUCCCAGCUACUCGGGAGGUUGAGGUAGGAGGAUCACUAGAGCCCAGUUACAGUGAGUAUGACUCACUGUAACUACACUCCACUACACUCCAGCCUGGGAGACAGAGUGAGACCCUGUCUCAAACAAACAAACAAACAAACCAAAAAAUCACUAGAAUAAUAGGAGAAAAGUGCCCUGCAAACUGAAACUCAGAUCUCUAAGGAGGGACGGGGGUUGGAGUCUUUGAGGGGUGCAAUUAGACUGGUUCUGCCAGUGUUAGGAAAACUGCAAACUGGAUUGAGAUGCUGCUAUGGGAAGGAACUGCCAUUGCAGGAGAAAGGAAGCCUUGCUAGGAGAGUGUUCACAGGAACAGAAAGAGCAAGUUCCUUUUUCCUCCAGCCUUGCAGUUCCCCUCUAACACCCCCAUGGGUAGAACCUCACAGGAAGCAGCUGGAACAGCAGAAAUAUGCUUUUCCCAAUUCCAACUCUUGUAUCACAAAGCAGAAUACAGAAGGUUGGGUUUGGAGUUGAGAGAUAACAACUAAAUAAUAGCUGGCACAAGGCCCACCUGAUCAGAAAUUAAUCUCACCUCCUUGGGGAUAAGGGCUUUGGGUGGGAGGAAAGGAGGCUCUUGAACUCAUGGGCAUUGAGCACGUGACUAGUUGUCUUAGAGAAAAUGUGCCACCCUGCAGGGCCGCCUGAAAGCUUGUACAAGUGCCUGAGGAAAGCCGGAUUUGGCAGGCUGCAACCACGGUGGAUGACAGCUGAAGGAGAAUUACAGCAGCAGCAGUUAAGUAGAAGAUGUUCACACUUCCUCGCUCUGCAUCUUUCUUCCUGGAGCCCAACACCUCGGAGGAGAAUGGGAAACCCAGAAGAAGGAGUGGGAAGUAGGGUUGCCACAUAAAAUAUAGGACUCUCAGUUACAUUUGAAUUUCAGAUAAGCAGCAGAUUAUUUCUUAGUAUAAGUAUGUGCCAGUAUGUGUGUAUGUGCACACAUAUGUGCACAUGUAUGCAUGCAUCAGCUAGAUUCUGCAACCAUCAGAGAAAUAGACAAAGGUCCUUUUGACCAGUGGUCAAACUGAGCUAUGAGGAGAAGAUCUUGAAAUUGCAUGUGAUAUUGAAGCUUUAAACUUACUGAGUUGCUUGUGUUAGGCUUUUAAAUACCGUAAUGGGACUAAAAACUAUGUUUCUAAGAGAGAGGAAUAUUUGGGAGUACAGCUGACCCUUGAACAAUGCAAGGCUUAGAGGCAUUGUCAAAAAUCCACAUGUAACUUUUGACUCCACAAACAUUUAACUAUUUUUCUUGUCUUUUUUCUUUUUUUUUUUUUGAGAUGGAGUCUCACUCUGUCUCCCAGGCUGGAGUGCAGUGGGGUGAUCUCAGCUCACUGCAACCUUCACCUCCCAGGUUCAAGCAAUUCUCAAGCCUCAGCCUCCUGAGUAGCUGGGAUUACAGGUGUGCACAAAGAUGCCUGGCUAAUUUUUGUAUUUUCAGUAGAGAUGGGGUUUCACCAUGCUGGCCAGGCUGGUCUUGGACUCCUGACCUCACGUGAUCUGCCCACCUUGGCCUCCCAAAGUGCUGGGAUUACAGGCAUGAGCCACGGCAUCUGCCCAAAAACUGAACUAUUAGUAGCCUACUGUUGACUGGAAGUCUUACUGAUAACAUAGUCAAUUAACACAUGUUUUGUGUUAUAUGUAUUAUAUACUAUAUUCUUACAAUAAAGCAAGCUAGAGAAAAUAGAAUAUUAAGAAAAUCAUAAGGAAAAUAUAUUUAGGAUUCUUUUUUUUUUGAGAUGGAGUCUUGCUGUGUCACCCAGGCUGGAAUGCAGUGGUCAGCCUUCCAACGUGCUGAGAUUACAGGCGUGAGCCACUAUGCCCGGCCAUAUUUACUAUUCAUUAAGUGGAAGCGGAUCAUCAUAGAUGACUUCAUCCUCAUCCUCUUCACACUGAAUAGGGUGAAGAGGAGGAGGAAGAGGAGGGGUUGGUCUCACUGUCUCAAGGGUGGCAGAGGCAGAAGAAAAUCCAGGUAGAAGUGGACCCAAGCAGUUCAAAUCCAUGCUGUUCAGGGGUCAACUGGGUCAACUGUGUAGUUAAAGGUAGUGAGUAGUUGGAGAAAAAUGAAACUGCUUUCGUGUUUAUACCUUCACUGAGUUCAGACCUCGUAAUAAACUGGGUAUCUGUAUGUGUGACAAACAAUAGAGGAGAUGUGUGUGCAGGGUGUUCAAGGGGCUUUUGCAUCUUUGCUGGUGAUCACAAAUAGGGCUUUAAUUCUUGGACUUGAAGAGCUGCAGGAGCCAUUGAAAGGAUACAUGGAGCUAGUUGAAUACCACAUUAUCAUUUAGCAAGUGAUAUUUAGCUCUAUUCCUGUGGAUGAACCCUGAUUAGGAUCUUAAGUUUGUAUGUUGUUGGAGAUUAUUCUUGUUUGUCUUGGAAAUGAACAUUCAUUCAUUCGUUCUGGUGCCUAGCAUAGACAAUAAAUCACAAUUCAAAUAAUGAAAAAUUAUAUAUUUAUUUAUUAAGCAUCUACUGCAUGUAGGUUCUGUGUUAGAUGCACAAAAAUGAAUACCAUAAAAUCCUUUACUAAAACGCCAUUCCUGUCUUUGAGUGGAAAAUGUAGCAGCUACGGGAAUUAAGUUAUAUGGUAGCAUGUGUGGUUACCUACUUGACGGAGACAGAAUCCACAUUAUCAGGUGUGGUCAGAUGAGGGAUUCUCUGCCUGGAGAAGUUGUCAUGGACAAGGUAGGAUUUAAUUUAGGUUGUAAAAGAAUACCAGGAUUUAGGGACUCCUAAAGACAGAGACUGUAUAUCCCUCAUCAGAUCAGCCACUCUUUUCUUUUUUUUUUUUUUUUUUUUUGAGACAGUUUCGCUCUUGUUGCCCAGGCUUGAUUGCAAUGGUGCGAUCUCGGCUCACUGCAACCUCCACCUCCUGGGUUCAAGCGAUUCUCCUGCCUCAGCCUCCCGAGUAACUGGACUACAGGCGCCUGCCACCACACCCAGCUAAUUUUUUGUAUGUUUAGUAGAGGUGGGGUUUCACUAUGUUGGCCAGGCUGGUCUCGAACUCCUGACCUCAGACAAUCCCCCCGCCUCGGCCUCCCAAAGUGCUGGGAUUACAGGCGUGAGCCACUGUGCCCAGCCAACCAGAUCAGCCAUUCUAAGGCCAAGAGUUGCAUUACUCUUUUCUCUGUUUCUUGGAAACAUGACUGGAGGACUUGCUGUAAAAAAUAUUAAGACUUAUUAUGAUAAAGCUAUGGUAAUAACAAGGUGUAGUGUUAGAAUGAACCUGGGCAACAUGGCAAAAUCUUGUCUGUGAAAAAUAUCAAAAAUUAGGUCAGGUGCGGUGGCUCACGCCUGUAAUCCCAGCACUUUGGGAGUCUGAGG
RNAcentral lists this long non-coding RNA (11081 nucleotides) under Homo sapiens (human). Its description in RNAcentral is "HSALNT0228977". The stretch from base 2763 to 2910 matches the Rfam family "Metazoan signal recognition particle RNA". The record is from RNAcentral. Lineage: Eukaryota; Metazoa; Chordata; Mammalia; Primates; Hominidae.